Molecule: non-coding RNA, 1346 nt
Organism: Castor canadensis (American beaver)
Lineage: Eukaryota; Metazoa; Chordata; Mammalia; Rodentia; Castoridae
Source: RefSeq, a predicted model, not a curated record
GAGCUGAGCAAGGAAGAAGGCCCUGUGGCUUUGACAGAUGGGCUUCUUAUCCUCUCAGAUUUGGAGUGUGGAAGUGUACACAGUCUAAAACCAGACUCCGUUGAUGUGAGACUAUGAAGAUAAAUGUUGCAGGAGUGCCCCACCAUGCCUGGCUGCAUUAUAAUUCUAAAACAUAAAAAGGACUCCCCUGUUCAGCAGAGGUGGAACAGUUCAUUAGGUAAGUUAGAAGAUAUGCAUAUUAUGAGUUAAUAUUCAAUACAUUUAAAUUAUGGGAAGAGUGAUACAUUGCUAAAGGGUAAGGGGAAUCAGAAAUAAUCUCAACAAUGGAAAAUGUUAAUCUUUCUUCUUUUAUUAAACUUUCAUUUUCUUAACUUUCUUCCUGGGUAUCUCUUUCUUUUAAAAAGAAAGCCACAAAAUAUGCUUGCUUUUAGUAUUUUACCUUAAAAUUAAAUGUGUAAUGACUAAGAUCUUAUCUGAUCAUUCCAGGGAUGACCCUCUAUGGAAAUUUUUAAAAGAUCACGGGAGGAGGUGGAGUAGGCAGAGUGGCUCCUCCAAGGUUUCGAUUAAGUGCCCUGUUUCCACGAGGCCUGUGCAGGCCAUGCUUUCAGCACUGUGUUCAGCUUUCUCUUCCUGCACACGCCUCAUCUCCCACGUGUGCUGCACUUGUUUUUCCUUUUUGGCAUAGUGUACAUCAUCUUCUAACCUAUCAUGUAGUUUAUUUAUUUUUUAUUGUCUGGUUUAUAGUGGGUAUGCAGGGGUGUGUUUUUUGCCCAAAUGAGAACCCUUUUUCUUUUCCCAACAAUGGAUCCUGCCCUGCUGCUGAUUGGCUUGAAUUUUGUGAUUCCAGUCAACUCCAUUAGAUUCUCACUCUAGGGAAGCAGAAUAUCAAUCAUCACUUUCUUGGGAAUAGAAGGAAGUUGGAGUUAUUUGAUGCCCUUGUACAGAUGGUCAGGGAGCUGUUGACAGCCCAAGGAUGAUCCAGUCUCCUACUACAGAAAUUCGUUGUUCAACUUAUAUGUCUUUAAUCAGGAAAAUGAAGUCAUAUACUCACCCAAAGCCUUGCACUGAAGGACCAGGUAAUGUUGUUGACACCUGCAAUCCUUGUUACUUGGGAGGCAGACCUGGGAGGAUUGCUGUUCAAGGCCACCCCAAGUUAGAAACAAACGAACAAAUGAACAAGUGAUUAGUGAGACCCUAUCUUGAAAACAAGCUGGGCAUGAUGGUUGACACCUUUAAUGCUGCUGAAUGAAGAGAUAGGAGUAUCAUGGGGUCUGAGACCAGCCCCAGGCAAAAAAGCACAAGACCCCAGUUGAAAAAUAAGCUAAAAGCAAAAAAAAAAUUGGAGG